AUACGUAGGUGGCAAGCGUUGUCCGGAAUUACUGGGUGUAAAGGGAGCGUAGGCGGGUGCGCAAGUUGAAUGUCAAAUCUAUCGGCUUAACCGGUAGUCGCGUUCAAAACUGCGUAUCUUGAGUGAAGUAGAGGCAGGCGGAAUUCCUAGUGUAGCGGUGAAAUGCGUAAAUAUUAGGAGGAACACCAGUGGCGAAGGCGGCCUGCUGGGCUUUAACUGACGCUGAGGCUCGAAAGCGUGGGUAGCAAACAGGAUUAGAUACCCUGGUAGUCCACGCUGUAAACGAUGAUUACUAGGUGUGGGGGGACUGACCCCUUCCGUGCCGCAGUUAACACAAUAAGUAAUCCACCUGGGGAGUACGACCGCAAGGUUGAA
RNAcentral lists this ribosomal RNA (375 nucleotides) under uncultured bacterium. RNAcentral's name for it is "bacterial SSU rRNA". It matches the Rfam family "Bacterial small subunit ribosomal RNA", at positions 523 to 898 of the family's 1533-position model. The record is from RNAcentral.